AUGUGGACCUGUCUUCGUCAGCGCUAUGAGCCCUCUGGUGAUGCCUUAUACCUUUCUGUGGUUCGUCAGGAGCAUGCUCUUCAGCAGGGUGACUCUACUGUUGAUGACUUCUAUGCACAGAGUUCUACUAUCUGGCGCCAGCUUGAUUCUCUCCGCAGUGCUGGUUGUCGUACUUGCCCCUGCUGCCAGGCCGUCCAGGCCAAUUUGGAGUUUCAUCGCGUCUACGAGUUCCUGUCUCGGCUCCGUAAGGAGUUUGAGCCCCGGCAUGCUCAGUUGUUUGCUCGUGACCGUAUUUCUCUCAUGGAGGCGCUUUCAGAGAUUCGUGCUGAGGAGACUCGCCUACGUGGUGCUGGUUUGCUGGAGGUUCCCUCUGUGCUCGCUACUCGGGCUUCUUUCACUCCACCUGCUGCACCGCCCCAUUCUCGCUCGAGUGCUCCGCCGCUCUUGCCCACUCCUUCUGGAGGCUCAGGUCGCCCCCGUCCACAUUGUGACUACUGCAACAAUGAUGGUCAUAUUGAGUCCCAGUGCUACACAAAGCGGAAACACCUGUGCAAGGCGCGAUCAUCCUCCUCAGGGACUUCGUCAUCUUCCUCGCCAGCUUCAGCCAUUGCUUUGACUGAGCAGGAUAUUCUGAGACUUAAGCGUCUGCUCGCGGCUUCAGGUUCUUCCCCGACGGGUACUGCUGGUUCUGUGACUGAUGCUUCCCGCACUGAGCACCCGCCCUCUACAUAG
RNAcentral lists this ribosomal RNA (732 nucleotides) under Triticum aestivum (bread wheat). RNAcentral's name for it is "partial small subunit ribosomal RNA". The record is from RNAcentral. Lineage: Eukaryota; Viridiplantae; Streptophyta; Magnoliopsida; Poales; Poaceae.